Long non-coding RNA from Pseudophryne corroboree (corroboree frog), 1220 nucleotides. RefSeq lists it as uncharacterized. Lineage: Eukaryota; Metazoa; Chordata; Amphibia; Anura; Myobatrachidae. The record is from RefSeq and is a predicted model, not a curated record. The transcript is spliced from 5 exons.
AAGAUCUGCAUGAUCACAUGUCUGCCUUCCACGGUGACACCAUAGAAGGAACACUGAUUUCAAGUUGGAGCAAUGUCCUGAAAUCACUUUAGUCAUCUGAAAAUUAAUCUGUUAAUCUCAGUCUCCAAAUUCUGCACAUUCCAUGAGUAGCUGGGGGGGAGCAUCUGCAGAAGCCAGCUGCUGAUUGGUGGGUAUUUCAUACUGAUCCCCAUACUACUAUGGUAUUUAAGAAAGCUCUCAAAACCACUCUUCCUCCCCUCACUCUCCGUUUCACUUCUUUCUUAUGCUGGGAUACACUCCUGAGCGAUCCAUUGGCUGACCAAUCGUCCCACAGAUCGAGCAACUGAUUUGAUUCAGAUUCAUGUUCGUGUGUACCGUAUGCAGCUGAGUGCUACCUCCUGGGGGAUGUUAUAUGAGCUGGAAGAGCAAAGCCUUUCAAGUGUUCAGAAAACAUUGAUAUUGGUUGGUGAGGAUGACAGUGUGAAGGAGAAGGCGACGUAGCAGAGGGGACCUAUGAGGAUCAUUUAUGGCACACAUUUGAUUUUCUAUCAGAGCACCUACAUGGUCUGCCUUGUGCACAUGAAGACGAACGCCUUCUUUCCGCUUAUGGGACGGCCAACCCCUCCACUGACUAGAAGUGCACAAUGAUGAGGGGAAGAAAUUACAGCUCAAUGUGCAAAUCUGUGAAAGUUCAUCCCUCUAUUACUUUAAAACUACCCUUAUUUUAAAACAUUAAACGUAUGACUCCAAUUAAUCAUGAAAGAAAGGGAGCACUGAGAUAUUAGUGGGUGUGUGUAAAAGUUUAUAGUAUUUUGUUCAGAGUAUAAACACCUGUACACUUCUCUGCAAAAAUGCAACAUGGAGGUAUAACUAUACUUGCAAACUCUUCUGGGACACUUUCUAGAAGUCCCCACGAACUCCUGUAAAUCAUCUCCCACCUAUUUCUUAGUGACAUGGGUUAGACUGCGGGCCAGGAAUGACAUGAUUCUCAGUAAAUAGUUUUACUGUAGCCCCACCUUCUGUGCGCUCUGCAGUAUUGUAUCAUAUGGGGUGGGAUGACAAGAACUGCAUCAUCUUAGCCCCAUCCCCAUAAUGCAAUGCUGCAAAUUGCAGCAGCGUGCAAUGACCACCUGCUUCUCCGCUCCAGAGUAACUAAGUAUGUGUACAACAUAAGUCCCAUUAUAUAGUAGGUACUGAAUAAAACCCAGUUCUUUUGAAAA